AGCCAGCAGCCGCGGUAAUACGGAGGUGGCAAGCGUUGUUCGGAAUUACUGGGCGUAAAGGGCGCGUAGGCGGCUUGGCAAGUCAGAUGUGAAAGCCCCGGGCUUAACUCGGGAAUUGCAUCUGAAACUGCUUUGCUUGAGUCCUGGAGGGGAUAGUGGAAUUCCCAGUGUAGCGGUGAAAUGCGUAGAUAUUGGGAGGAACACCUGCGGCGAAGGCGGCUAUCUGGACAGUGACUGACGCUGAGGCGCGAAAGCUAGGGGAGCGAACGGGAUUAGAUACCCCGGUAGUCCUAGCCGUAAACGAUGGGCACUUGGUGUUGGGGGUAUUGAGUCCCUCGGUGCCGGAGUUAACACGUUAAGUGCCCCGCCUGGGGAGUACGGUCGCAAGACUGAAACUUAAAGGAAUUGGCGGGGGA
RNAcentral lists this ribosomal RNA (416 nucleotides) under uncultured bacterium. RNAcentral describes it as "bacterial SSU rRNA". It matches the Rfam family "Bacterial small subunit ribosomal RNA", at positions 506 to 920 of the family's 1533-position model. The record is from RNAcentral.